Molecule: ribosomal RNA, 546 nt
Filed under: uncultured bacterium
Lineage: Bacteria
Description: bacterial SSU rRNA
Rfam family: Bacterial small subunit ribosomal RNA
Source: RNAcentral
AUGAACGCUGGCGGCGGCCUAACACAUGCAAGUCGAACGGUAACAUUUCUAGCUUGCUAGAAGAUGACGAGUGGCGGACGGGUGAGUAAUGCUUGGGAACUUGCCUUUGCGAGGGGGAUAACAGUUGGAAACGACUGCUAAUACCGCAUAAUGUCUUCGGACCAAACGGGGCUUCGGCUCCGGCGCAAAGAGAGGCCCAAGUGAGAUUAGCUAGUUGGUGAGGUAAAGGCUCACCAAGGCGACGAUCUCUAGCUGUUCUGAGAGGAAGAUCAGCCACACUGGGACUGAGACACGGCCCAGACUCCUACGGGAGGCAGCAGUGGGGAAUAUUGCACAAUGGGGGAAACCCUGAUGCAGCCAUGCCGCGUGUGUGAAGAAGGCCUUCGGGUUGUAAAGCACUUUCAGUUGUGAGGAAAAGUUAGUAGUUAAUACCUGCUAGCCGUGACGUUAACAACAGAAGAAGCACCGGCUAACUCCGUGCCAGCAGCCGCGGUAAUACGGAGGGUGCGAGCGUUAAUCGGAAUUACUGGGCGUAAAGCGCACGCA